AUUGAACGCUGGCGGCAUGCUUUACACAUGCAAGUCGAACGGCAGCGCGGGCUUCGGCCUGGCGGCGAGUGGCGAACGGGUGAGUAAUACAUCGGAACGUGCCCAGUAGUGGGGGAUAGCUCGGCGAAAGCCGGAUUAAUACUGCAUACGACCUGAGGGUGAAAGCGGGGGAUCUUCGGACCUCGCGCUAUUGGAGCGGCCGAUGGCCGAUUAGCGAGUUGGUGGGGUAAAGGCCUACCAAGGCGACGAUCUGUAGCUGGUCUGAGCGGACGGUCAGCCACACUGGAACUGAGACACGGCCCAGACUCCUACGGGAGGCAGCAGUGGGGAAUUUUGGACAGUGGGCGAAAGCCUGAUCCAGCAAUGCCGCGUGUGUGAUGAAGGCCUUCGGGUUGUAAAGCACUUUUGGCGGGAACGAAAAGGACUGUGCCAAUACCACGGUUCGAUGACGGUACCCGCAGAAUAAGCACCGGCUAACUACGUG
RNAcentral lists this ribosomal RNA (484 nucleotides) under uncultured bacterium. RNAcentral describes it as "partial 16S ribosomal RNA". It matches the Rfam family "Bacterial small subunit ribosomal RNA", at positions 29 to 507 of the family's 1533-position model. The record is from RNAcentral.